RNAcentral lists this unclassified non-coding RNA (341 nucleotides) under soil metagenome. Its description in RNAcentral is "partial contains 5.8S ribosomal RNA, internal transcribed spacer 2, and large subunit ribosomal RNA". The stretch from base 1 to 120 matches the Rfam family "5.8S ribosomal RNA", at positions 35 to 154 of the family's 154-position model. The record is from RNAcentral.
GAUGAAGAACGGAGUGAAAUGCGAUAAGUAGUGUGAAUUGCAGAAUUCAGUGAAUCAUCGAAUCUUUGAACGCACAUUGCGCCCUUUGGUAUUCCAAAGGGCAUGCCUGUUCGAGCGUCAUUUGUACCCUCAAGCUUUGCUUGGUGUUGGGCGUCUUGUCUCUAGCUUUGCUGGAGACUCGCCUUAAAGUAAUUGGCAGCCGGCCUACUGGUUUCGGAGCGCAGCACAAGUCGCACUCUCUAUCAGCAAAGGUCUAGCAUCCAUUAAGCCUUUUUUUCAACUUUUGACCUCGGAUCAGGAAGGGAUACCCGCUGAACUUAAGCAUAUCAAUAAGCGGAGGA